GAUGAACGCUAGCGGCAGGCCUAAUACAUGCAAGUCGGACGGGAUUCAGGAGCUUGCUUCUGAUGAUAGUGGCGCACGGGUGCGUAACACGUAUGUAACCUACCUUUAUCAGGGGGAUAGCCUCUCGAAAGAGAGAUUAAGCCCGCAUAAAAUCACAGCACAGCAUUGUGUAAUGAUCAAAUAUUUAUAGGAUAAAGAUGGGCAUGCGGAACAUUAGCUAGAUGGCGGGGUAACGGCCCACCAUGGCGACGAUGUUUAGGGGAUCUGAGAGGAUGGCCCCUCAGAGUGGUACCGGGACAAGGACCAGAGACAUACGGGAGGGAGCAGUAAGGAAUGUUGGUGAAUGGGAGGAAGCAUGAACCGGCCAUGCCGGGUGCAGGAAGACGGCCUUACGGGUUGUAAACUGCUUGUAUACGGGAAUAAACCCAGAUACGUGUAUCUGGCUGAAGGUACUGGAAGAAUAAGGAUCGGCUAACUACGUG
Molecule: ribosomal RNA, 482 nt
Filed under: uncultured bacterium
Lineage: Bacteria
Description: partial 16S ribosomal RNA
Rfam family: Bacterial small subunit ribosomal RNA
Source: RNAcentral